UCUCUCUUAUGGUUCUAGAUUUUAUAAAGAAAAUUGGAUGUGUGGAUUUUUUAGUUGAAUAUUUAAAACUGCUCAUGAAUUCAAUCAAAAAUAUUGUGGAUAAUCCAUCCGGGUUUUGAUCAAUCCGCGUAAACUCUAUUCCGAAAUAACGUUUUUAAAAUCAAUCUUGAAAUUAGUAUUGCUACACACUAGGAAGUACAAAAUGAUUAAACAUUACAAUCGAUUUUUCUCUUAAAAUACUGUUUUAAAUUAGGUGCGAAAAACUAAAUGCGGUUCCGCAGCAGAAUCAUCGGAUAGCUGCGCUCCCGUUAGCUGCUCUUUUUCAUCUUGGAACUGGCGUCUGUUAGGUGAAUUCCUACAAAAUGGUUUCCACACGACUCAUGUCGAUGGGAAAUGGCACCGUCAAUGAAUUAGCUAGUCACUCAUCAUCCACCGAUGGCCCUGCGAAAUUUACAAGAAACAGCGCCGCGGCGGCGUGUUAUAAACCUGCAGCGCGAACGGUGGAAUCGAUACAAUUCUUGGAAUUACCCCAGGAAGUUAUUGAGAAAGUGUUUAGUUAUUUGUCCUUCAGGGAAAUAAGCAAACUGCGAUUGGUCAGUCGGAGAAUUGAUCAAAUAUGCGGAUAUAUUUUGAAUUCAACAUUUUCUAAGCUGCAAAAUCAAAUGCUUCAACGUUUCCAAGAUAUAAAAAGCAAAAUGCCCAGAAGAGAGUCGGCGCGUCGCAGCCACUACCUAGCGUGCGAAAGCGAUAUCAUUGAGACAUUGCACAUGCGACUGACAUUGCUGCAAAUGACUUUUGGGAAGCACAUUGAGCGAAAAUAUUGCUGCUUUUUUCCUGGGGAGAUCCUCGAUGAAGUUUAUUCGAUUUUGCUGUACAUAAAGACCACCCAGAAGUUGGAUCUUCCAUACAAGGUAACAGAUGAAUUGUUCGAUUUAUCCACAAUGGCUAUGGAAUACUUCAAGGAAAAAAUUGAACCGAACUUGCCCGAAAUUGCAUAUUUCAGUACCGAUUUUUUACAUUUUUCCGCUAAUUUUGCCGGUACUAGCCCUAAUAAAUAUAUGCCAUUAGAAUCUUCAACAUCUGAGUCGGUAAAUGAAGUUGAUCAAAACGAUACAGACGUUCUCGAAAACGAGGAUCUGGUAGAGAUUCCGCAGUCGAAUAUGGUUUUGCGCAAAAGAAUUCGUAAAAUUAAGCAGGGCAUGAAACGGUAUAACAAUCAACUGACAGUCUUGAGGCAAGAGUUGAAAACGUGCAAGAAAAAAACUUCAGAGCAACAAAAACAAAUCAGCGACCAACAAAAGCAACUUGCGGAUCAGCAAAAACAAACCCUUGAAUACGCUACUAGGUUAGACGAAUAUGAUAAGAAAAACGAAGAGAUUUCACGCAAAUUUAGCACAUUACUUCAGGAACUUAAUAAAUGCAAAACAGAACUCCAAUAUUGGAGAUGCAAAUCGCCUGCAAUACCUCCGAUUUGUAGCACAUGCGGCAGUCCUCAGCCUGAAGAGCUUCAAGCAUUUAUAAACCAGGGGGUAAAUCCGGAAGGAAUAGAAAUUAUAGCAGAUCUCGCCGGUUUGCCUAUGCUAGAACAAAAUACUAAGAGUAUAGAAGAAUCCGCUGAUGUCACGGAACCCAUAGAAGCGGCACAAAAAGAUAACCGGUGUGAAACUUCAUCAGGUUCAUCGGUCGCAGCUGUUAGAAGUAUUAAAAGAAAAAUUUCUGAAGAAGAUCCGAUCGAGCCUAAAGCAGUGUCGAAGAAGACGCGUCGAGGAUCUAAAGCCCGUUGCAAGAAGAGUAAAAUCUAAGGAAAGAUUAUAAGUGAAGAGAUCAUGAUGAAGAAAAUUUAACCAAAAAGUAAGUUUUCAGGAGUGUCACAUCCGAGUGAAGAAGUGAAAAAGACGAUGACAGCAACGGCGUUUACAUUUUUAAAUUGUCAGUCAUUGUUUGUAGAAAUCUCAAAAUCCACUAGCUUCUAGUUUGUGACCUCUUGCACAGGUUCUUGUUUAACUUGCAGAAUGAACCAACAAAGAAUCAUUGUGUACGUAGUAAAGGCAAAAACAGUUUCAUAUCUCCGAUUCCACAUGAAAAAUUAGUAUUGGUUUGUUGUGACUUAGAAAUGAUAUUUGUUGCAUACUAGAUACGAGAAAGUGGGAACAAUCUAUAACUUUUAAAUAAUGAGCUUUUAAAUAAUGACUUUUAAAUAAUAAUGAAGAAACAGAUCAGUAAAUAUGUUUUUAUACAAAUAAUAGUAGUUUACAUAAAAAUGGAAAAUUUUUGGUUGCCUACGAGAAAAAUUCCUUUUGUUAAGAAUAUAAUUUAUAUUGACCGAUUAAAUGGUUAUAAAAAAUAAUAUAGCCACAAAGUAUCACAGAACAAGUUGAUAAUCAAUGAACGGGAAUAAGCUUCAUUUCCUUUUUAUAAAGACUGCCUCAAAAGUAGGGCAAAAUUUGAAUUAAAUAAAAAACAGUUUUUUUUCUUUAAAUUGUUUUUUUAUUGAAUCGAAAAUUAUAAAUAGGGUUGAAUUUCCCCCCUUCAAUCUACACGUGGUUGCAGUACAAUAAAAAGAAAUUCAAUGAUGUCAAAUCACUUGAUCUAGGGGGCAAAUCUUAUCACCUAAGCGAGAAAGUACUUAACUAAGAAAUGUUAUGGCAUGUAGCACCGUCUUGUAGAAAUCACAUCCAUAUCAGCCACCAUUCACCAAACAGUGAUAUAUUGACGAUGCAUUUGAACUGAGGAGGCUUUUACUUGAUGAAAAUAAGAACUAAAAGUUCAAGAGUUUCACGAAAUUAUAUAUUUUUACAUGACAUUUGUUUUGACAACACCGUGUCUUCGUCAAAUGUCACACGGUGUUGUCGAAAUAAUUGUCAUGUGAAAAUAUAUAAUUUCGUGAAAAUCUGAACUUUUAGUUCUUAUUUAUUUUGACGAUACAUUUGUUUUUCGAUAAUCACAUUUAUGUUCUCUGAACGCCAAACGCGGCAAUUUUGACAGUUUGCAAAGCAAUCAUGGUAAAAAUGUGCUUGUCGAUAUUCAAUAAUCACCAACACUCUCACGCACUCGUUCCAUAUUGACAUUUGAUGAACGGAUUGUUUUUAACGACUAAUAUGUUUAGCAUCAUCAGUUGGUCCAGUUUGCCUGAAUUUUCCAAUUACUCACAGUUAACGAAGUUAAAUCACUAUUCCGACCAUAUUUUGUACACAAUUUUCGAAAUGUGACUACCAAACUUUCAUUAUUUUUGAAAUAUUGUUCAACAAUGAAUUUGUGUAUUUGUGCUAUACCACCAGCUGUCGAAUUGUUAAUUUUUCUGCGUUGUCAACGGUUUACUGCGAACUUUAGAAGCUAUGGCUUCAAAACCAUUUUCUCAGAUUUCUGAGCCAAGAUAUUCUUCCAACAGAUUUUUUUUUUAAUUUUGCGGGUUGCGGGAUAUAAUAAGAUAUUGGAGAUUUCUCUUUUUCACUUCCUGCAGGAUUUCUACAUCUUUCUCCAUUCUUCUCGUUGAGAAUCCAAGCUUCUACACUAUAUAAAAAGACUGCGAAAAUAUAACAAGCUCAGAUCGCGGCUACAGAGCAGUUUUUUGGUCUUCAUAAAGGAUACAUGGGACUUCUCAAUACGAAUCCUUAUUUUUGACACUUUCCAGCAUUUCACCUUCCAUUUACAACUGUUCAUUAAGCGCCUCACUUUUGGUAACAAUCAUAUACUUGGUCUUUUUAAUGUUGAAUGCCAGACCAUAUUCUCGACUAACUGUGAUGAGAUUAUUCAACAUAUUUUGUAGAUCUUGCAUGUUUUCAGCGAGAAGCGCAUAUCUAAUGACGCCAAUUAAAAAUUUGACACUAGUUGUCAAUUUUAACCGGUGUCAAAUAUUGACAUACCAUCAUUUGGGAGCUUAUGAAAAACUAAGAUUCGUUUUGAUUGUAUAGCCCGUUAAAGUUAGAAAAAGACCAAUUUUCAACCGUCAAUAUCUCGAAAACAUUUGAAAUAAGAUUUAAAAGAAUUUUAAGAAGAAUCCAAGAAAUUGCUGUUGGAGAUUCCAAUAUUGCCAUCGAUUUUGAAAUUUUUCAACAUUAAAACAUUUUUUAAAUAUAGUUUAUCAUAUUUUAUGGCAAUAUGCCAUAUUGGACCAAAUUUGUUACGGUAUACUUUUAUUUGAUUUUUUAAAUUAAUAAAACUAUUAAAAAACACUGUAGCUCUGGUAUCACAGAAAAUUGCAUUACGGUUUUAUUUAUUUGCUAAAUUGCAGCAUUUGCAUCUCUACAAUUUUUGUCUGAUUUUGUUUUUUUUUUAUUGGGACCCCUCACUUUUCAUAUGCACCAUGGCUUUCGGACGAUUUCUAAAAAAAAAUUAGUAGUCCUUAAUGUUCCGAACAAAUGGACCCAUCAACUGUGCAAAUGGUCCGAUUUUCACAAAACUUUUUUUUUAUAUCGAUAGCCAAAGAAAAAUAAUACAAUACAUUGUUCGGACGGUGUAACAACGACAAGUCAAACAAGUAAACAAGUAAAAAGUUACAGGUCGUUAGAGUGUGAAUUUAAUUUUCGACAUAUUUUAUUUAACUUCAAAAAUGUCUAAGGAUUUUGGAUGAAGUUAUUUGAGGAUAACAAUAAACGAUAUCAAUUUCGCCCAAAUACGUACAAAAUUAUUUUUUGUGGUUAAUUUUACUAAAAUACAUUUUGCGCCAUUCUGUAUGUCAAUAAUAAAUAAAUAUUGAAUUUUUCAGCAAAAAAAUGCAUAGUUGCUAAAUCUAUUGAUAAAGUUAACGUUAUCACUCAAAAAGAGAAUCGAAUAAAACGGGGACUUCUGCACCUCUUAUUUUGGCGUUAUUGUACUUUAUACCGUGCACACUUGACGAGAAAUAACGUUUUCCCUCGUUAACAGAUUAAGUCCGAUGCCACCUACGCCGAAAUAAAGCCCGUUACUAAAAUUUAAAACAUAAGCAUUGCUUUUAUUUUAUUGUACUUGAACCGUAAAGAAAUUGUAAAAAACAAAACCAGAAAGAAACACCACUAAAAUGUUACUGUAACUGUCGCCAACUCUCACAUACUGAAGUGAGAUAUGGACGACGACAAAGCGAGGAGAAAGCAGAAUCCAGGCUAAAGAAAUGAAAUUUUUAUGAAGCGUUAAAGGCUGUACAACACGAGACCAAAUUAGAAAUGAAAACAUCUCGCCACAAUAGAUGAGUUAAACGAAAAGGUUAAAGAAUAUAAAAAAAACUCAAAAAAUAUUGCUUAGGCAGACCGCGUAAAAGGCAUGAAGUACAGAUAAAUUGUUACUGUUUCAAUAUUUUUAUUUGACUAGUUUCUUGUUUAUUCUAUUCUUUCUACGUCAUUCUUAUUACUUCACACCAAGGAAAAGGUCACCCCCCCCCCCCCCCGCCCCGAAGGCCUAAAUCCUUUAUUAAAUCCUAACCCGUAGGAUAUAAUUCAGGAUUAUUUUAGACCCAUAACAUUACUUCUAAAUUAAAAGUAGAAGGAACAAUAUUUCUUCAGAAAAGUUAAGCUACAAUAGGUUAAGAACCAAUAAAGCAACAUAAGGGUGAAAUUUCGUAAAUGGUGCAAAAAGUCCCUAAUACGGGUCUGUUCGCGCAAGAGGUAAAAGGGCAUAUUAUGGUACCGUCAAAAUGUUAGACAAAGAGGCAAGUCUAAUUCCACUCGUAAUUAGGUACAGCAAAUAAAAACCAGAAUUUAUAUUUAGAAACUUCGAUAGCAUACCAUUUAAUAAGGGAUCAAUAAUAUUUGCAGAUCAUUUUGAUAUAACUAAUUUGUUUGGGUUUUACGUUAUCAUUUCAGAAUAAAUUUAAACUGUAGUGCAAUUUUAAACUUAACGACUUUUUCAAAUUUCCAUUUGAUAAGAAAUCGAUGUCUGGAGAUCAUUUUGUUUCUAUGAACAUUAUGAUUUCGAAAGUCAAAUUCUGAAUUUUUAUUGAAUAAAUUCCAGCUUAGACGACUUUCUCAAUUUUCUAUUUUUUUUUUUUGUAGAAAAAUGUUUGUUAUUUUUUCGUUUUAUUUCAUUUAAAUGAGGAUUUACUAGUGCCAUUGCGGAAAUUAUUAUAAAACUAAUAAUAUAUGCAUAUACAUAUUAAAUUAGUUUGUGGGCUAUUAAGAGUGAAACAAAAUCAGACGUCCCAUUAAAUUAAUAUUACAAUUUUUUGCUAUUAAUUUAGCUUUAUCCGUCUAAUUCCAAGGUAUCAAACCAAAGAAGACAAAUCUAAUUGCUAUAGAUAGUCGGACAACUUUCAACGUCUAAUAUAAUAUCCGAAAAAACUUUACUAUUAGGGUGAAGGAAAUCACAACAAAACUUGUUCGAUUCAAGUCGCUGCCAUUUUUUUAAUGUAUUAUCGAUUCAUGUUGAACACAAGCUUUUGCAAAAAUAGCCAUAAAUAAAUUAGAAAAUAUUAAGAAGAUAGUAAGAAAUCAUACACUAAAUCUCCAAGUAAAUUAAUUGGAUUAAUUGAGGAAUUCAAAUUAUGUUUACCGUUUCCUUAUGCCUGAAUUGGUCUAACUUUUGAUCCUACAAACAUUAUUUCAGGAAGGGGAUCAGUUCCAUGAUUCUAAUACCGAUGUUCUAUUUUUUCCAAAAACCUGGUUUGAUCAGCUGUGAAGAUUUUGAUUACGUUGAAUUUUGUUUUAAAAUGUCAAAUGGAGGUUUGAAAUUUGACAGUUUUUUGUAGUUUGAAUUUUUAAUAAUAUUUGAUAAGGAGUAAAAAAAAUAAAACUUAAACUACGACAUCAGUUUUCAAUUUAUUUGGUGGCAAAAAAAUGUACAUUGUGGACCGUUUAUUAUAGGAUUACACCUUAUCUUUCAAUUGAGAAAGCCUAUUUUACACCAGACAGGAUCAUUACCUCCUGUUUUAUUAAUUCUUUUAGAUUCUUAUAAAUUUAAAAAAUGGACAAAUGUUUUCAAGGAAUAGAACAUUAAGCAUAUAUAAAAUCUUGCCGAUUGCCAUUUAAACGUUAAUGUGUUUUGGUUAAACAGGAACAAAACGAUUGUCGUUCUCUGUUUAACCCUAGACUUUUACGUUCCAUUUUACUCGGUCGUCGUAUUUUAAUUGGUAUUAUUCCUACGGGGUUCUUGAAAUAUAACAAUUGUAAAGUUGUCCAUCGAAAUUUAUAGGUUAUGUUUAUAGUAAAAAGUAAAAAAAAACAUUCAUUUAAAACUUUGCUUUAUACCUACAAAAUUGAAGAAUUUGGGAGAAAUUGGUACAAAAAGCUCACCUAAAAAUUAUCUUUGGCUUAUAACAGAUGGGUGUAAGUGUAAAUAGAGGUGACGAGCUCUUUGUACACCAAAAGUUAUCAUUUGUUUAACAUAUCAUCGUUUAACAUAACGCGAACAAACGUUGCACCUGUAUUUGAGAUCUUGAAUGAUCCCAAAUUAAUUUUCUGAAGAAAAUAAGAUCAAGAUUAAGUUGCAUACGAUUUUAUUUAACGAAUGACACUGCAUUUUGUCUGUGUUCGCUAUGACAUGAUCCAAUUGUUGGAAAAGGCAAAAGGCAAGGAGUGUUGCUAUGGUAACUAUGUAACGUCGAAGAGAAUAAUUCCGAAAAGAGGGCAAUUAAUAAUACCCUGUGUGAGAUUAGAGAUUAUAAUGUAACAUUACAAAAAAUUUCAUAAUUAGAAGUAAUGCAAACCACAUCUGAUUAAUUUGAGCGUUGAGCACCAAUACACAAAACAAGAAAAAAUACGCUCGCCUAUGAAACACGUCUUCUAUUUGUUUACAUACGAGUAAAAGACAUUCCGCAAUUCAAACUGCCAAGUUUGUUCAAGUCUUUGGAAUAGAAAUAUCCAAAAACACCUUUUUACUUUCAAAAAGUCACUUUUUGAGGUUAAAAAGUUCCCAUACAUUGGCGUUCGUUAUAACGUUGUCACCUAAUAAGACAUUUCCUGCAAACCAUAUCGUUACUGUUAAAAAAAGAUUUAUUUGUUAUUUUAUGGGUAAUGUCACUUAAUGAAAGGAAUGCUAUCUGUCUCGAUAAUAUAUCUAUUAUCCGCAUUCAAAUGUAUUCUUGGUUGGUUCAUUUUGUCAUAAUAAUAUGCUCCAUGUUCCACAGUUUUACCAUUUAAAAUAGAAAGUUCAGUCAAAUAAAAAUUGAACGACGAACUGUAAUUGUAUAUAAUUUGUCGAGUCAAAACGGCCAUACUCUUGUAUCUGUUAUAUUUUAGUAAUUUCCUUAGUAGCGCUAGCUGUUUAUUCUUUAAUAGUUAAAGUACCUUAUUUAGUUAAUGUACAAUAAUUAUAUUUAAUUUGAAUUUUAAUAUGGUACAACAUGAUUUAGGAUAACAUCGUAUUUUAUUAUUUUUAAGUAAGGACAGAAUUGUUCAAUCCUUUGUACAACCACCGACACACCAAUUUGAAGCUUCAUGAAGAAAUUAAAGCUGCAUUACCGUGCAAUAUGUAUUUAAAUUUUGUUAAUGCUGUAGCUUUUUGGUCACUUCCGUUUCGAUUUGAAAUUAUAGCUAUUGGAUUCAACAAUAUCUGUACCUAAAAAGUGACGAAUUCGUACUUUAAUAAGUAAACGCGAAAAUUUAAGCUUCUGCUAUUUGACUAUGAGAAAAGAAUUAUUCGAUAUUUCGAUUCUUUUCGGCUUGUGAUUUAUCGAAUUUUUGGGUAUGAUUUAAAGGUAUUGAUUACGAAAGAGCACCCUGCGACGAAAAUCAGUAAUUUCAAAAUUAGGUUGAUUCCCUAUUUCAUAAUGGGAAUUUAUGGGAUCCGAUUUUUUUAUGGGAAAAAAGUAGGUAGUCAUUUUUGUAGUAUUUGUAAAACAGUUUUUGGAUUUUUUUUUAUCUAGAAUUUUACUGUUGACUAAUUCUGAGUAUAUAUAGUUAGUACUAAAUAACUCGUUUUAUUAAUUCAUUAUUAAGUGCAGUUUUUUCGUAUUGGUUAAUAAUUAUAAUCUAUGUUCAAAAUCAUGAAAAUUCAAGAACAUUGUCUUUGCCACAAAUUUACAAUGUGAAAACAAAUGCAACAAAUAUAAAAUUAACAAAAAUAGGAUCCAUAAACAUAUACACAAAAAUUCUUUAAAACAUACUUUUAACGACAACAAUAUAGUCAAACCGGAAAUAAUUAAUUUUCUAGAAACUUAAAUUUUUUAAAUUAAAAAGAAGGGCAUUAGCAAAGACAAAAGUGGUAGGAAAAUAUCAACGAAUUAUAAAAUUUUCCCCAUGCUUUCGAUGUAACAUCCAUGCUCAAGUGAUUUUUUUUGUCAUGACUUAUUGGUGGAAAACAUGUACAUAUGGCGUCCCGAAAUUUCCGUUAUGUUCUAAAAAUGGAAUUUACAUUGAGUGAACAAAAAGUGAUUACAGAGAAAACUUGUGACAAAAAUCUAAAAUAAAAUGAAUGGUGAAUGAAUGGAACAAAUAAUCUCAGUCUCUUUUAAACCAUCUUAUAUCAGCAACAAAUCAUACACAUUUUAAAAUAAUUGUAUUAGUUAAAUUAAAGCAGCCAUGCAUGCAAAUACAAAUAAAAAAUAAGAAUUAUAUUUGGUAUAUUCGAUAGGGAUAAAAAACAUUUGUGAGAGUUAUUGAGAAUUGCAAUUAUUUGGAAUGAUACAUUUUCAAAAAUGCGCGCAUUGGGACAAAAGCGGAAAAAAUAUCCAUUGUGAAGAAGAUAUCAGGCAUAUAUUAUCAAUAAAAUCAUCAUUCCUUUGAAAAUAAUAAUAAUCGAUUCAUAAAAGUAAUUAAUUGUCCGAAUAUCAAACCCCUAAAGUUAAAUCAGAAAACUGGUCUAGAGAAAGCGAAAUAAAUCUAAUGGAUUAAUAUAAAUUCACCUGCCAAGAUUUUUCAAUAUAUAAAAUAUAUAAACAUUUUUCGAUGAAACUGGCAAAUCUAAAAACCUAAGCAAACAAUCCUACAUCCUCUGUUUUCACAAAUGUCUCAAAUUAUUCACAGUGAAUCACCCUAUAUAUAUCUCUAUAUAUCUCUCACCUCAAGACAUCGUGUUAUACAAAAGUAAUUUAAUAUAUUCUGUAAGCUAUAUAAUAUGUUCUGCAUAACAGCCUUUUUGUCCCAAUGUGCGACGUCUCUAGCUGUGAUGUAAUGUGUAAAUGCGAAGUAAGGAAAACUUGCGAUAUAAAUAUUAGUCUUCACUUUAUCCUGCCACUCGUGGAGUUGCCAUCGCCCAUAUUUUUCAUCCGACUGAAGUCCCCUCCAUUUGUCGCCCUCAGACAACGGAAGAGAUUAUUCUACCAACCUGCAUUAUAUCCCAAAGGUGUAAAUAUUUUUAACUUAAAGAAUGAAAACUUCCUAGGGUAAGAUUUCUUCUUAACAUAGUGGUAAAGUGGCGCCACUUAUGAAAAAUGAAGUUUAGGCUGUUAAAUAUUUCCCCACCAAACAAAUUUCUUGUUUUAGAUUUUGCUCAAUUAUAUCAUCCCAUCUCUUGUCAUUACUAGUAGGUUUCAAUGGACCACUAUGGAUCUAGGUCUUCAAAAAGUAUGGGCCUAACAACGGUCUAACACAGUGAUUUGAAUUUGUAUGGCUUAAUUCAGAUUAAGUGUAAAAUUUUUUGGUUAGUUUUGGUUAUUAUAUUUACAAGAAAAGUUAUUCGAAGAAAUAUCAAGCGUUGAUAAUUUCAAAUCGCUUUAUCAAACCGUUCGCAAUGAUUAGAUUUCCCACUUUUGUGGCCUGGUUAACAAUGAAAAAGAGCAGUUCAGAUUAUAAACUGCGUUCAUUCGCAAUUUUUAUCCAUUUAAACCUUUUCAAACGCGUUGAUUUCAAUGUGUAGAACUGGAAGUGGUAUUGAAUUCAAUUUUGAAAAAUAACUGGUUACCGUUCUGAACUCCCUAGUUGAUCUCUACUCUGUGAUAUUGACAAAAAAGUGGAUUUAUAAUAGUCAAAUGGUUUUCUAUACAUUUUACUUGUACUACUGAUGAUUGCACAAUUAUUAACGUUUUCCAGGUUUAGCGAACAAAAAGAAAUGUCGUGUAUUACUAAUUGGGGAGAAUGGCAUUGAUUAAUCAUAAUUUUGUUACUUAUUUCGGGCACCGAUGAAGUUAUUUAUUUUCUAAGUGGGGUGUAGGUCAGUAGGGAAUUUACUUUGGAGGUAACUUUUCGUGCUAUAAUGAAACCCAAUAUAUUUGUAAAUAAUUUGUUGUCAUUUUAAUAUAUCUGCAUUUUAGUAGAGAAUUACUGAGGUAAUAAUGAGAAAAGUUACCUUUGUUGGUUAAUAGAAUUUUAAUUCUGCAUCUGGAAGUGUCCUUUUUGUUUUCUCCUAAUUUUUAACUAGACAUAGGAGUGAUAGAUAAAAAUAACGCAAAAAAAUAAAAAAAUAUAUAUUUUAAAACCUAAUAAAUGUACAAUGUACUCCAUAUAUUUUAUUUACUUAAUA
This is an RNA transcript of Cylas formicarius (sweet potato weevil), 11304 nucleotides long. It is a transcript of the gene named F-box only protein 28, with no coding region annotated. The record is from RefSeq and is a predicted model, not a curated record. The transcript has 10 exons. NCBI's taxonomy places the organism in Eukaryota, Metazoa, Arthropoda, Insecta, Coleoptera, Brentidae.